This 446-nucleotide long non-coding RNA is filed under the name Homo sapiens (human). Its description in RNAcentral is "HSALNT0350727". The record is from RNAcentral. Lineage: Eukaryota; Metazoa; Chordata; Mammalia; Primates; Hominidae.
GUACCGCGCCACGUCCUCCCGGAUCAGCUGGAUGCCGGAGCUGACGCUGUAGGCCCCUGGACUCGGGCAGGACAGGAUGGGAAGUACAGAUGCCUGGAGCAAAGGGGAAGGGAGGAGGCUCAUGGACCCUCCCUGCUCAGAGUUCCCCCCGCUCUACGUCCCUCUGUGUUAAAGGCCUCCCGGGAGGGCUCCUGUCCACAUGGAAAGAUGCAGGCCAGACACUGCCGGCUCCUCUUUACUCUCUGCUCCGGAGGGAGGCAGGAAGGAGUCUCAAGGGCCACCACAGUGCCUCUUCCCCCAAGACUCCAGAGCACCAGAAGUGGAACCCACACAGCUGGGGCUGCAAGCGUGGGGCACAGGUCAUUUCGGGCAGCGGCCUCCAGAAGGACAACACUGGGAGGGAAGAGGACCUGCUUCAGGAGCCCUUGGCUGGCUGCCUCCUUCCG